AUUAAACGCUGGCGGCAUGCCUUACACAUGCAAGUCGAACGGCAGCACGGGAGCAAUCCUGGUGGCGAGUGGCGAACGGGUGAGUAAUAUAUCGGAACGUGCCCAGUCGUGGGGGAUAACGCAGCGAAAGCUGUGCUAAUACCGCAUACGAUCUAUGGAUGAAAGCGGGGGACCGUAAGGCCUCGCGCGAUUGGAGCGGCCGAUAUCAGAUUAGCUAGUUGGUGGGGUAAAGGCCCACCAAGGCGACGAUCUGUAGCUGGUCUGAGAGGACGACCAGCCACACUGGAACUGGGACACGGUCCAGACUCCUACGGGAGGCAGCAGUGGGGAAUUUUGGACAAUGGGCGCAAGCCUGAUCCAGCAAUGCCGCGUGCAGGAUGAAGGCCUUCGGGUUGUAAACUGCUUUUGUACGGAACGAAACGGUCUCUAUUAAUACUGGGGGCUAAUGACGGUACCGUAAUAAUAAGCACCGGCUAACUACGUGCCAGCCGCCGCCGUAA
This 500-nucleotide ribosomal RNA is filed under the name uncultured bacterium. RNAcentral describes it as "partial 16S ribosomal RNA". It matches the Rfam family "Bacterial small subunit ribosomal RNA", at positions 30 to 523 of the family's 1533-position model. The record is from RNAcentral.